GACGAACGCCGGCGGCGUGCUUAACACAUGCAAGUCGAACGAUGAACCAGGAGCUUGCUUGGGGAAUUAGUGGCGAACGGGUGAGUAACACGUGAGUAACCUGCCCUUGACUCUGGGAUAACCUCCGGAAACGGAAGCUAAUACCGGAUACGACGUACGGAGGCAUCUCCUGUACGUGGAAAGAACUUCGGUCAAGGAUGGACUCGCGGCCUAUCAGGUAGUUGGUGAGGUAACGGCUCACCAAGCCUACGACGGGUAGCCGGCCUGAGAGGGUGACCGGCCACACUGGGACUGAGACACGGCCCAGACUCCUACGGGAGGCAGCAGUGGGGAAUAUUGCACAAUGGGCGCAAGCCUGAUGCAGCAACGCCGCGUGAGGGAUGACGGCCUUCGGGUUGUAAACCUCUUUUAGUAGGGAAGAAGCGAAAGUGACGGUACCUGCAGAAAAAGCACCGGCUAACUACGUGCCAGCAGCCGCGGUAAUACGUAGGGUGCGAGCGUUGUCCGGAAUUAUUGGGCGUACAGAGCUCGUAGGCGGUCUGUCGCGUCUGCUGUGAAAACCCGAGGCUCAACCUCGGGCCUGCAGUGGGUACGGGCAGACUAGAGUGCGGUAGGGGAGAAUGGAAUUCCUGGUGUACCGGUGGAAUGCCCAGAUAUCAGGAGGAACACCGAUGGCAAAGCAGUUUUCUGGGCCGUAA
This 698-nucleotide ribosomal RNA is filed under the name Leifsonia sp. AaM69a. RNAcentral describes it as "bacterial SSU rRNA". It matches the Rfam family "Bacterial small subunit ribosomal RNA", at positions 28 to 739 of the family's 1533-position model. Lineage: Bacteria; Bacillati; Actinomycetota; Actinomycetes; Micrococcales; Microbacteriaceae. The record is from RNAcentral.